AACGAACGCUGGCGGCAUGCCUAACACAUGCAAGUCGAACGAGACCUUCGGGGCUAGUGGCGCACGGGUGCGUAACGCGUGGGAACCUGCCCUUAGGUUCGGAAUAACUCCCCGAAAGGGGUUCUAAUACCGGAUACUGUCUGCGGACCAAAGAUUUAUCGCCUUUGGAUGGGCCCGCGUUGGAUUAGCUAGUUGGUAGGGUAAAAGCCUACCAAGGCGACGAUCCAUAGCUGGUCUGAGAGGAUGAUCAGCCACACUGGGACUGAGACACGGCCCAGACUCCUACGGGAGGCAGCAGUGGGGAAUAUUGGACAAUGGGCGAAAGCCUGAUCCAGCCAUGCCGCGUGAGUGAUGAAGGCCUUAGGGUUGUAAAGCUCUUUUACCCGGGAUGAUAAUGACAGUACCGGGAGAAUAAGCCCCGGCUAACUUCGUG
Molecule: ribosomal RNA, 433 nt
Filed under: uncultured bacterium
Lineage: Bacteria
Description: partial 16S ribosomal RNA
Rfam family: Bacterial small subunit ribosomal RNA
Source: RNAcentral